UUUGUUGUUAUUGUAACAAAGGCGUGUCUUUUCAAACCUCGUGCUCAGUUAUUAUCGUGACUAGUUCGCUGAGGUAAUUGUGUACAUUGCCAGAGGGUCAAGUGUCAAUGUGCAGUCGACACUGUAAUCUACAGUCAUGUUGGAAACUAGAAUUUUCAGAAGUGGGUGGGGACCUCCAGUGCACAAGUCUUGCCCAGGGACUCUCUAUAUUUAAAGCGAGGGUCAUGCGAUCAAGUUCCAGUGAAAGAUACUGUCUCAGGACUCGCCAAGACCUUCCUACAAAGAGGAGACACGAGUUAGCUACUAGGUGAAGAUGGUGUAGAACAGAGAGGAGUGACAGAAAACUGGGGAGCAGAUGAGCCAAUGUCUGGUUACACUGGUUGAGCCUUUUUUUUUUAAUAUCCUUCGAUAUCUAUCAGAUAUUUGCAAAUAAAAAGAAAUAUUUAAACCAAGUUUGUA
Molecule: long non-coding RNA, 459 nt
Organism: Biomphalaria glabrata
Lineage: Eukaryota; Metazoa; Mollusca; Gastropoda; Planorbidae
Exons: 3
Source: RefSeq, a predicted model, not a curated record